Molecule: long non-coding RNA, 1464 nt
Organism: Brachypodium distachyon (stiff brome)
Lineage: Eukaryota; Viridiplantae; Streptophyta; Magnoliopsida; Poales; Poaceae
Exons: 3
Source: RefSeq, a predicted model, not a curated record
AGCGGGAGCCCACUCGUGACUUCGCAAAAUUACAUCGAUCUGCCACCGUGCCCGAAUCGGUACGCUCGGCAUUUCCGAAAUAAUUACAUCGACUGCCAUCGCCGUCCUCCCCCUCCACCCCCAUGGCGAAACCCUAGCCGCCGCCACCCCCCUCGCUGUAGCCUCCGCCCUUAUCCGCCGCUCGGAACUGCUUAUAGUCGCCCCCGCGUCCGCUCCCCUGCACCGCCAAGUUCUCUGCCGUCGUGGCCUCCACCCCCCUGCAACGCCGGGAUCUCAGAAGGAGCUCGAUUAGUGGGUAGAUUUACCAGAAGGAGCUUGAUUAAUUCUUAUACUGCUGAGAACUGAAUAUGUUCUUUGUAAUUUUACAGAUAUUUCUGCGUGGACAUGAUCUCUUGAAUUGCGCUUGUGAUGCUAUGGUUUGGUCAGGAGCAUCACUGAUUAGUUCGUGUGCUCUGUAACUUGUGCUUCUUUCAAGUUCAGAAGUAACCUCUUGUUCCUUUUUCUUCUGUCAUUGUGAAAACUUUGAAUUAGUCAGCUUCUUUUGAAAUCUUUUCACUAUUGUUGCUUGGCUUUGCAAAUCAUUAUAAUGGCGACACAUAUCUUUCUGUUCGAGCACUUUUACAGUACCCACAAAUUAAUUUAAGCCGUUAAUUUCUUCUAAUCUAACGGACAUAUUUUAUCUGUACUCCAAGGUAACAACUGGGGAGUACCAUCGAUCAAUACUUGGGAGUACCAUCCCCUCUGGGGUAAAAUCGUAAUUGCGAAGUCAAUUAACAGGGGAUAACCGGAUAAGUGCUGGAUGGACGGACUUAACGCAGUUAAUUACAGCGGCCGGUAUUGAGGCGACGAGAUUUGCCUCCGGUAUCUGGGGAUUUAGUCCAAGGAGUAGCACGCCGGCCGGCCGCCGGCCAGGCCUGCUGUCAACCCAAGCCACUGAUUGCAAACUUGCUCGGUCCUGUACUCCUGUACAUGGAGCAUGGAGCUCGAUCGUUCAGACGGCGGCGUGCAGUUCAUUGUCGAUUAGGAGGCGCUCGUGAAAGUCCAAAUCACCCCAGGCGAAAGGUCUAAACUACCCUAACAGAUGGACGGACAGAUUUGAUUGGUACUCCUUACCCUUUCUAGGGAGUACAAAGUUAAUUUCAGAACAAGCAACAACUUCAGCACCGGCAGCAGCGAUAGCUACAACUUCAGCACAGUACUAAGUUAGUUCUUGUAACCCCAAUUCUGAUACAUGAAGAUGGCUGUUCUGAUACCUAGUUCGACAAAAUGUGUGUGUGUGUGUGCGUGUGCAGAUUGUUCAUUCUGAUCUUGUAUCCCCGUUGCUUGUUUGAAGAGAGAAGCAGGUGUAACUUUGCUUUUUUUCCUUAUCUAUUCUGUGUGCAGCAAUGCAUUUCUGUAUGAAUUCACACUACUUACUGUUCUUGAUGUUUUUGUUAUCAAUUCUCAGUACAGUGCAAUUUAUCA